Oncorhynchus tshawytscha (Chinook salmon) is the source of this 958-nucleotide long non-coding RNA. The record is from Ensembl. Lineage: Eukaryota; Metazoa; Chordata; Actinopteri; Salmoniformes; Salmonidae.
CAUGAUCAUUGAGUGAAACAAAAACAAGAAAGUAAUACUAGACAUACAGUAUUGACAACUUCUACAGUGAUGAAUGUCAUUGUGGUGGGGGUGGAAUACACAUAGAGGGAGUAGAAGGGGGAGGGCAGCAGGAGAAAGAAUGUCCAUGGGAGGAGUAGGAGGAGGGAGCAGCAGGAGAAAGAAUGUCCAUGGGGGAGUAGGAGGAGGGAGCAGCAGGAGAAAGAAUGUCCAUAGGGGUAGUAGGAGGAGGGAGCAGCAGGAGAAAGAAUGUCCAUAGGGGGAGUAGAAGGAGGGAGCAGCAGGAGAAAGAAUGUCCAUGGGGGAGUAGAAGGAGGGAGCAGCAGGAGAAAGAAUGUCCAUGGGGGAGUAGAAGGAGGGAGCAGAAGGGGGAGGGAGCAGCAGGAGAAAGAAUGUCCAUGGGGGAGUAGAAGGAGGGAGCAGCAGGAGAAAGAAUGUCCAUGGGAGGAGUAGGAGGAGGGAGCAGCAGGAGAAAGAAUGUCCAUGGGGGAGUAGAAGGAGGGAGCAGCAGGAGAAAGAAUGUCCAUGGGAGGAGUAGGAGGAGGGAGCAGCAGGAGAAAGAAUGUCCAUGGGGGAGUAGAAGGAGGGAGCAGCAGGAGAAAGAAUGUCCAUGGGAGGAGUAGGAGGAGGGAGCAGCAGGAGAAAGAAUGUCCAUAGGGGGAGUAGAAGGAGGGAGCAGAAUGGGGGGAGCAGCAGGAGAAAGAAUGUCCAUAGGGGGAGUAGAAGGAGGGAGCAGCAGGAGAAAGAAUGUCCAUAGGGGGAGUAGAAGGAGGGAGCAGAAGGGGGAGCAGCAGGAGAAAGAAUGUCCAUAGGGGGAGUAGAAGGAGGGAGCAGCAGGAGAAAGAAUGUCCAUAGGGGGAGUAGAAGGAGGGAGCAGCAGGAGGAAGAAUGUCCAUGGGGGAGUAGGGAGGAGGAGGGAGCAGCAGGAGAAAGAAUAUCC